GCCAGGCAUGGUGGUGCACGCCUGUAAUCCCAGCUACUCAGGAGGCUGAGGCAGGAGAAUCACUUGAACCCAGGAGGCGGAGGCUGCAGUGAGCCGAGAUCGUGCCACUGCACUCCAGCCUGGGCGACAGAGUGAGACUCUGUCUCAA
This is an unclassified non-coding RNA of Pongo abelii (Sumatran orangutan), 148 nucleotides long. It matches the Rfam family "Metazoan signal recognition particle RNA". Rfam says of the family: The signal recognition particle (SRP) is a universally conserved ribonucleoprotein. It is involved in the co-translational targeting of proteins to membranes. The eukaryotic SRP consists of a 300-nucleotide 7S RNA and six proteins: SRPs 72, 68, 54, 19, 14, and 9. The record is from Ensembl. NCBI's taxonomy places the organism in Eukaryota, Metazoa, Chordata, Mammalia, Primates, Hominidae.